UACAGAGGGUGCGAGCGUUGUCCGGAAUCACUGGGCGUAAAGGGCGCGUAGGCGGCGCGGUAAGCGUGCGGUGAAAGCCCGGGGCUCAACCCCGGGUCGGCCGUGCGGACUGCCGGGCUGGAGCACUGUAGAGGCAGGUGGAAUUCCGGGUGUAGCGGUGGAAUGCGUAGAGAUCCGGAAGAACACCGGUGGCGAAGGCGGCUUCUUGGGCCGUUCCUGACGCUGAGGCGCGAAAGCUGGGGGAGCGAACAGG
This 253-nucleotide ribosomal RNA is filed under the name uncultured bacterium. RNAcentral describes it as "partial 16S ribosomal RNA". It matches the Rfam family "Bacterial small subunit ribosomal RNA", at positions 524 to 776 of the family's 1533-position model. The record is from RNAcentral.